RNAcentral lists this ribosomal RNA (253 nucleotides) under uncultured bacterium. RNAcentral describes it as "partial 16S ribosomal RNA". It matches the Rfam family "Bacterial small subunit ribosomal RNA", at positions 524 to 776 of the family's 1533-position model. The record is from RNAcentral.
UACGAAGGGGGCUAGCGUUGCUCGGAAUCACUGGGCGUAAAGCGCACGUAGGCGGAUCUUUAAGUCAGGGGUGAAAUCCUGGAGCUCAACUCCAGAACUGCCUUUGAUACUGAGGAUCUUGAGUCCGGGAGAGGUGAGUGGAACUGCGAGUGUAGAGGUGAAAUUCGUAGAUAUUCGCAAGAACACCAGUGGCGAAGGCGGCUCACUGGCCCGGUACUGACGCUGAGGUGCGAAAGCGUGGGGAGCGAACAGG